GUUGUAUGGUUAAGUGACUAAGCGUACACGGUGGAUGCCUUGGCAGUCAGAGGCGAUGAAAGACGUAGUAACUUGCGAUAAGCCCAGAUUAGGUAGUAACAACCAUUUGAGUCUGGGAUUUCUGAAUGGGGAAACCCACGUGCAUAAGCACGUAUCCUUACCUGAAUACAUAGGGUAAGGAGGCGAACCGGGGGAACUGAAACAUCUAAGUACCCCGAGGAAAAGAAAUCAACCGAGAUUCCGAAAGUAGCGGCGAGCGAAAUUGGACUAGCCCUUAAGCUUUA
This 284-nucleotide ribosomal RNA is filed under the name Vibrio parahaemolyticus. Its description in RNAcentral is "partial 23S ribosomal RNA". It matches the Rfam family "Bacterial large subunit ribosomal RNA", at positions 1 to 280 of the family's 2925-position model. The record is from RNAcentral. Lineage: Bacteria; Pseudomonadati; Pseudomonadota; Gammaproteobacteria; Vibrionales; Vibrionaceae.